AUAAUGUCAAGCUUUGAAUGGAAAGAGAUAAUGUUGUACACAUAAAAUGUCACCACUCACAGGCUGGCCCCACCAUUGACACUUUACUCUGGAGUUGAGGGAUGUAACCUCUCCAAGUGAAUCACCACAAACCAAAAAACCAGAAAUAACCAGCGAAGCACGGGGGAGACUAAUAUGGUAGUAUUGCCCUGAAGGAUAGCAAUGACUUUUCGGCCACACCCAUGGCACCAAGCACAAUCCAGAAUAUACAGGAAAUGCUGGGCAAUUGACUCCUUCAGUUAAACGCUCCACCACCACCACAAGUCGCUCAAGAUGUGUGACAUAU
Molecule: long non-coding RNA, 325 nt
Organism: Panthera uncia (snow leopard)
Lineage: Eukaryota; Metazoa; Chordata; Mammalia; Carnivora; Felidae
Exons: 3
Source: RefSeq, a predicted model, not a curated record